Molecule: ribosomal RNA, 497 nt
Filed under: uncultured bacterium
Lineage: Bacteria
Description: partial 16S ribosomal RNA
Rfam family: Bacterial small subunit ribosomal RNA
Source: RNAcentral
GAUGAACGCUGGCGGCGUGCCUAAUACAUGCAAGUCGAGCGAACGGACGAGAAGCUUGCUUCUCUGAUGUUAGCGGCGGACGGGUGAGUAACACGUGGAUAACCUACCUAUAAGACUGGGAUAACUUCGGGAAACCGGAGCUAAUACCGGAUGAUAUUUUGAACCGCAUGGUUCAAAAGUGAAAGACGGUCUUGCUGUCACUUAUAGAUGGAUCCGCGCUGCAUUAGCUAGUUGGUAAGGUAACGGCUUACCAAGGCAACGAUGCAUAGCCGACCUGAGAGGGGGAUCGGCCACACUGGGACUGAGACACGGUCCCGACUCCUACGGGAGGCAACAGUAGGGAAUCUUCCGCAAUGGGCGAAAGCCUGACGGAGCAACGCCGCGUGAGUGAUGAAGGUCUUCGGAUCGUAAAACUCUGUUAUUAGGGAAGAACAUAUGUGUAAGUAACUGUGCACAUCUUGACGGUACCUAAUCAGAAAGCCACGGCUAACUACGUG